Molecule: ribosomal RNA, 119 nt
Filed under: Strongyloides venezuelensis
Lineage: Eukaryota; Metazoa; Nematoda; Chromadorea; Rhabditida; Strongyloididae
Source: RNAcentral
UUUUAUGCUCAUAUCCUACUGAAUGAAUUGGAUUCCGUUCGAUCUCCGAAGUAAAUCAGUUGCGAAGUAUCUUAGUACUUGGAUAGAUAACCUCCUGGGAACCGUUAUUGGCGUAAGUU